UGAGGAAUACAUCGGAAUCUGCCUAUUUGUGGGGGAUAACCUCGGGAAACCGGGACUAAUACCGCAUACGACCUACGGGUGAAAGCGGAGGACCUUCGGGCUUCGCGCAGAUAGAUGAGCCGAUGUCGGAUUAGCUAGUUGGAGGGGUAACGGCCCACCAAGGCGACGAUCCGUAGCUGGUCUGAGAGGAUGAUCAGCCACACUGGGACUGAGACACGGCCCAGACUCCUACGGGAGGCAGCAGUGGGGAAUAUUGGACAAUGGGCGAAAGCCUGAUCCAGCCAUGCCGCGUGAGUGAAGAAGGCCUUCGGGUUGUAAAGCUCUUUUGUUGGGAAAGAAAAGCAAUCGGUUAAUACCCGUUUGUUCUGACGGUACCCAAAGAAUAAGCACCGGCUAACUUCGUGCCAGCAGCCGCGGUAAUACGAAGGGUGCAAGCGUUACUCGGAAUUACUGGGCGUAAAGCGUGCGUAGGUGGUUCGUUAAGUCUGAUGUGAAAGCCCUGGGCUCAACCUGGGAAUUGCAUUGGAUACUGGCGGGCUAGAGUACGGUAGAGGGUGGCGGAAUUCCUGGUGUAGCAGUGAAAUGCGUAGAUAUCAGGAGGAACAUCCGUGGCGAAGG
RNAcentral lists this ribosomal RNA (618 nucleotides) under Luteimonas terricola. RNAcentral describes it as "bacterial SSU rRNA". It matches the Rfam family "Bacterial small subunit ribosomal RNA", at positions 107 to 721 of the family's 1533-position model. Lineage: Bacteria; Pseudomonadati; Pseudomonadota; Gammaproteobacteria; Lysobacterales; Lysobacteraceae. The record is from RNAcentral.